RNAcentral lists this ribosomal RNA (411 nucleotides) under uncultured bacterium. Its description in RNAcentral is "bacterial SSU rRNA". It matches the Rfam family "Bacterial small subunit ribosomal RNA", at positions 30 to 441 of the family's 1533-position model. The record is from RNAcentral.
AUUGAACGCUGGCGGUAGGCCUAACACAUGCAAGUCGAACGCGAAAGUCCUUCGGGAUGAGUAGAGUGGCGGACGGGUGAGUAACGCGUAGGAAUCUAUCCUGUAGUGGGGGAUAACGUUUCGAAAGGAACGCUAAUACCGCAUACGCCCCAACGGGGGAAAGGCGGGGGAUCUUCGGACCUCGUGCUAUAGGAGGAGCCUGCGUCGGAUUAGCUAGUUGGUGAGGUAAAGGCUCACCAAGGCGACGAUCCGUAGCUGGUCUGAGAGGAUGAUCAGCCACACCGGAACUGAGACACGGUCCGGACUCCUACGGGAGGCAGCAGUGGGGAAUAUUGCGCAAUGGGCGAAAGCCUGACGCAGCCAUACCGCGUGAGUGAUGAAGGCCUUCGGGUUGUAAAGACUCUGUCGGGA